UCACAAGUGGAGUAUCUGGCAUGAGAGGGU
This 30-nucleotide non-coding RNA is filed under the name Rattus norvegicus (Norway rat). Lineage: Eukaryota; Metazoa; Chordata; Mammalia; Rodentia; Muridae. The record is from RNAcentral.